CCUACGGGGGGCAGCAGUGAGGAAUAUUGGUCAAUGGGCGGAACCCUGAUCCAGCGACGCCGCGUGAGUGAAGACGUAUUUAGGUAUGUUAAGCUCUAUUAGCUGGGAAGAAAAUGCCGGUACGUGUCUCAGUAGCCACGGCUAACUCAGUGCCAGCAGCCGCGGUAAUACGUCGGGGGCCAGCGUUAUUCGGAUUUACUGGGUGUAAAGGGGGCGUCGACGGCAGUGCAAGUCUGGGGGGAAAUCCCUUGGCUUAACCCUGGAACUGCUUUUGAAACUGUGCAGCUGGAGUGCAGGAGAGGUAAGCGGAAUUCCUGGUGUAGCGGUGAAAUGCUUAGAUAUUAGGAAGAACACCAAUUGCGAAGGCAGCUUACUGGACUGUAACUGACGUUGAGGCUCGAAAGCGUGGGGAGCAAACAGGAUUAGAUACCCGAGUAGUC
RNAcentral lists this ribosomal RNA (440 nucleotides) under uncultured bacterium. RNAcentral's name for it is "partial 16S ribosomal RNA". It matches the Rfam family "Bacterial small subunit ribosomal RNA", at positions 338 to 795 of the family's 1533-position model. The record is from RNAcentral.